UCUUUCUUGAACCUGCCACCACUUUGAGCUC
RNAcentral lists this non-coding RNA (31 nucleotides) under Macaca fascicularis (crab-eating macaque). The record is from RNAcentral. Lineage: Eukaryota; Metazoa; Chordata; Mammalia; Primates; Cercopithecidae. RNAcentral also lists the same sequence under 1 other name.